UGUGGGUGUGUGUUGUGUGGGAAUGUAUGUUGGUGUAAAUGUUGUAAAUUUAUGAAUUGUAUGGGUGAGUACUCGAUGGAGAGGUGUAUUUGUGUACAUGUGCUAAGUGUGAGUGUGUGUUGUAUGGGGAUGUGAUGUGUAUGUUCCAUAAAUAAGUUAAGGAAUUUGAGAGUUUCAGGAUAAUGUUGAUGGUUUAGGAAUAGUUUAUGUUGGAAUACCCAUCGUGGGGGUUAAGUAUGCGAGUCUACGAGGCAUCUUGAGUAGGCACG
Molecule: long non-coding RNA, 269 nt
Filed under: Carica papaya (papaya)
Lineage: Eukaryota; Viridiplantae; Streptophyta; Magnoliopsida; Brassicales; Caricaceae
Description: long non-coding RNA (CPAP_LNC012349)
Source: RNAcentral